AUGCCGUGAUGAGGGCAAUUUCUUUGAAUCUAUCCCAAGCGUCCGAGAAACUUUCAUCAUCUUCUUGCUCAAAUCCAUGUAUCUUGCUUCGCAAGCGA
Molecule: small nucleolar RNA, 98 nt
Filed under: Helianthus annuus (common sunflower)
Lineage: Eukaryota; Viridiplantae; Streptophyta; Magnoliopsida; Asterales; Asteraceae
Description: Plant small nucleolar RNA R71
Rfam family: Plant small nucleolar RNA R71
About the family: R71 is a member of the C/D box family of snoRNAs containing the C (UGAUGA) and D (CUGA) box motifs. Multiple nearly identical copies of this snoRNA have been identified in Arabidopsis, and it is thought to function as a 2'-O-ribose methylation guide for 18S ribosomal RNA.
Source: RNAcentral